Molecule: ribosomal RNA, 253 nt
Filed under: uncultured bacterium
Lineage: Bacteria
Description: partial 16S ribosomal RNA
Rfam family: Bacterial small subunit ribosomal RNA
Source: RNAcentral
UACAGAGGUCUCAAGCGUUGUUCGGAUUCAUUGGGCGUAAAGGGUGUGUAGGUGGCGCCGUAAGUCAGGUGUGAAAUCUCGGGGCUUAACUCCGAAACUGCAUUUGAUACUGCGGUGCUUGAGGACUGGAGAGGAGACUGGAAUUUAUGGUGUAGCAGUGAAAUGCGUAGAUAUCAUAAGGAAGACCAGUGGCGAAGGCGGGUCUCUGGACAGUUCCUGACGCUGAGGCACGAAGGUCAGGGGAGCAAACGGG